RNAcentral lists this ribosomal RNA (455 nucleotides) under Hesperoptenus tomesi (Large false serotine). RNAcentral describes it as "partial 12S ribosomal RNA". It matches the Rfam family "Bacterial small subunit ribosomal RNA", at positions 896 to 1533 of the family's 1533-position model. Lineage: Eukaryota; Metazoa; Chordata; Mammalia; Chiroptera; Vespertilionidae. The record is from RNAcentral.
AAAACUCAAAGGACUUGGCGGUGCUUUAUAUCCCUCUAGAGGAGCCUGUUCUGUAAUACAGAUACCCCCCGAAUAGACCUCACCAACUCUGGCCAAAUCAGCCUAUAUACCGCCAUCUUCAGCCAACCCCUAAAAAGGAAGCACAGUAAGCACMAUCAUCAGCAUAAAAACGUUAGGUCAAGGUGUAGCCCAUGAGUUGGAAAGAAAUGGGCUACAUUUCCCCAACCCGAGGAUACACACGAAAGCCCUUGUGAAACCAAGAGCCAAAGGUGGAUUUAGCAGUWAACUAAGAAYAGAGCGCUUGGUUGGAUAAGGCCAUGAGGCACGCACACACCGCCCGUCACCCUCCUCAAGCAAAAUAUCACACUCCUACAUAAGUUUUAAACACCMGCCAGCAAGAGGAGAUAAGUCGUAACAAGGUAAGUGUACUGGAAWGUGCACUUGGACAACGCAAG